RNAcentral lists this ribosomal RNA (407 nucleotides) under Methanobrevibacter smithii. RNAcentral describes it as "partial 16S ribosomal RNA". The record is from RNAcentral. Lineage: Archaea; Methanobacteriati; Methanobacteriota; Methanobacteria; Methanobacteriales; Methanobacteriaceae.
AGCUUCACGAGGGUGAGUUACAACCCUCGAUCCGAACUAUGAACAGGUUUCAAGAUUACCUUCACCUUUCGGUGUCGGGACCCAUUGUCCUAUCCUUUGUAGCGCGCGUGUAGCCCGGAGGAUUCAGGGCAUACUGACCUACCGUUGCCCUCACCUUCCUCUGAUUUAGCACCAGCGGUUUCUUUAAUGUGCCUGAUAAGCGAACUUACCAGCCGCAAUUAAAGAUGAGGGUCUUGUUCGUUGUCUGACUUAACAGAACGCCUUACGGUACGAACUGACGACGGCCAUGCACCACCUCUCGGAAAAUCUGGCAAGGUCAUUAGCCUGGCCUUCAUAUAACCGUCGCCUCCGGUGAGCUUUCCGGCGUUGAAUCCAAUUAAACCGCACGCUCCACCCGUUGCAGUGCU